UUCCAAUACUUCCCUGAACUCCAAACACCUGACAUCUAAGUUGACUAACUCAUAUCUAGCUAAAUACAGACAGAAUGGGAACAAAUAUACUUAUCUUCCCCUGAACCCUCCUUCCCCAUUUUCGUUAUUGUAAGAUGUAUACAUCUCUGCUGAACUACAAUCAACUGUAACUAAGACUGAGGGAGGUCGUGCAUAAAGAAAGAUUUAUUCUUAUGACUAGAUCCUCUGGGGGCCUCUACAGUUCUAAAAAACCUAAUAAUUUUUUCCAGGUUGGGAGGCACAACCUAAAUUUCACCAGAGAAAGCUAAAGAGAACUGCAAGAUGCUCCAUUCCCACAAGGACUGAGCACAAGGCUUGCAGAGCACUCCUAUCUCAUUCUCCUGGGGAAAUCGAAACCAGAGCUCCUUGUAAAAUUUAAUAAAGUUUCAUCAGUCAACAGCAAUUUCCUUCACUUCCUGUCCUAGAUGGACAUACGAAUUAAAUGGAAGAUAGUAUAUUGGAGAACAGAGUUCCAAAAAUAUUAGAUUUCAUAUUCAGAGGGGAAUCACAAAAAACUCAUUCUACUAGGACUCAUACUGAUGGUACAAUCUAUUCAUUGUAAUACACUUGAGUCUCUAUGGGAAAGUAGUGAACAGUAUAACAAAAUAAAACAAGGAAAAAAUAAGUCUACUUAUAUUAGGCUGAAUGAAGUACACAGAAGGUCAUUAUCUAUAAAGCAGCAAAGACUCAAUCCUGAACGCUGUUGAACACUGCUGAAAGAAGCAUGGAGAAAGUGUUUGCCAGCAUUUGUACAGGGAGACAUUCGCACAGUGCCGAGAACUGAGUGCUCAUCAUAGAUGACCUUGGGAAGCCAGCCUCCCUUAUUGGCGGCAGAACAGCUGCACAGAAUUAGAAAGCAUCCAAGAAGAACUAAGGAGGACUUUCUGCUGACAAACAGGAAUUGAAGGCUGAGAAACGGCCGCUGAGAAACAGGAAUUGAAGGAGUGGUGGGAGAGCUAGAAGAAGGACCAAAAGGAGAACGCAGCAUGCCAGAAUGAAGCCACGGAGCAGCUCCUAACAGUUAUGGAGCGCCAAGUGGACACGCUUCAGGCAAUACUAGCUCUUCAAACUGAGCAGCUCUGUUCCCACCCUCCCCUUCAGCUGCUGUCGCAAAACUCUUUCCCACGCGCCCCACACACACCGCCAACGCACUGUUAUCAAACUGCUGGCUCCACUCUCUACUCGCAGCAUUCCACUCCUCCCUCCUCAGAGUUCAGCACUGGGGAUUCCCACUUCCCACUGCACUCAACACCCAUCCAUCUGCAGUUUGGCCCUGCUGAAGUACAGCACCCGCUACAUUAUACUCCAAAGGAGAAGGUUGGGUAUGAUCCCUAGACAUACACAAAUCUGUAGCUGAUCUCCUCUUGAGAACUUCCUUUCCCCCAUGUCCCCUCCCCCUCCCUGCUGAUGAAUUUUUUCGUUUGACUCUCUC
Molecule: long non-coding RNA, 1471 nt
Organism: Mauremys reevesii (Reeves's turtle)
Lineage: Eukaryota; Metazoa; Chordata; Testudines; Geoemydidae
Exons: 4
Source: RefSeq, a predicted model, not a curated record